Podarcis lilfordi (Lilford's wall lizard) is the source of this 18884-nucleotide non-coding RNA. Lineage: Eukaryota; Metazoa; Chordata; Lepidosauria; Squamata; Lacertidae. The record is from the annotation of a GenBank genome assembly.
GGCUACUCUUGUGCCUCACAAUGGCUUGCAAGACAGAGCCAACGAACAGGCAGGUAGGAUUCCACCUUCCACCCAAAAAGACAACAGGUGCAUUUUCUUGUAAGUAAAGAAGUGUUUAUCACUGCAGACUAGUGAUACAAACUUGGCAUGAAGGAAAGAACAGAAAAUAGCCAAGGCAAAGGGGUAGCCACAAUAAGCCCAGUUCAGAUUCAAGGCCAAGGGGUUUCAAGACUUCAAAGGAACUGUGAAAUUGUCCCAACUAGUUUGCCUGCCUCCCCACCAAGCUUUUAAGCGGAGGUGAAAAACACCCAGCUACUUGCGAGAAUCCCUGUGCCUUAUGGCAGGAAUUAUUAAUAUUAAUAUUUAUCAGUCACCUUCCCCACAUGUCUCAAGUUGAUGUACAAAACACAAUAAACUAGCUAGAAAACAGUCAAGGGUAACGCAGAAAUUGAUGGUAGUUAUAUUUAAAAACAAUACAGAGUAGAUACUGGAGAUGGCAGGUUUGAAGGUGUUGUUAUUGUUUAGUCGUUUAGUCGUGUCCGACUCUUCAUGACCCCGUGGACCAGAGCACGCCAGGCACUCCUGUCUUCCAUGAGUUUGGUCAAACUCAUGCUGGUAGCUUCGAGAACACUGUCCAGCCAUCUCGUCCUCUGUCGUCCCCUUCUCCUUGUGCCCUCAAUCUUUCCCAACACCAGGGUCUUUUCCAGGGAGUCUUCUCUUCUCAUGAGAUGGCCAAAGUAUUGGAGCCUCAGCUUCAGGAUCUGUCCUUCCAGUGAGCACUCAGGGCUGAUUUCCUUCAGAAUGGAUAGGUUUGAAGGUAGAUUUCACUAAAUCUGAAGCAUUCAACAUACCUCCACUGGUACAAACUCACCUAUUUGCAUAGGUGGGUAACUCACUUGGUUAGAAUGUGGUGCUAAAAAUACCAUGGUUCCAGGUUUGAUCCCCUUAAGGGGCAACUGCAUAGAAAGGUGUGGGGGAUACAUGGCAGAGACUUAUUAAUCACAUACCAUUUUUUUCUCUUUCCAGCCCCUUUUUUCCCCUCCCCCCAUCCCACUAUUCCUCUUUGUCCAGCAAGUCAGAAGGAACAGGUCACUUUUGCCAGAGAUCUGAAGUGAUCACUGAGGGCUCCCCUUCCACAUUCAUUAUUCCAACCUUCCCCGUUUUUCCCCUUCCAGACUCCACCCCAUUUGCAAGAAAUCAGACUGAGGACCACAUGAAAUUAGGCCAAGGACUUCAGAUUACCCAUCCCUGUCUGAUGUGGCAGGUCACCUCCAUCCCCUUUUACCUGACCUAAACUCACAAGGACAAGCUUUAUUUAACGUCACUAUGUAUUUACAAUCAUUUGCCAUAUAAUUAUAGAAUUGUAGAGGGUCCCCUACACUCCUCUAGUUCAACCCCCUGCAAUGCAGGAAUGUCAGCUAAAGAAUCCUUGCGACUGAUGCUAAUAAUAGCAAUACAGUGGUACCUCGGGUUACAUAUGCUUCAGGUUACACACGUUUCAGGUUACAGACUCCGCUAACCCAGAAAUAUUACCUCGGGUUAAGAACUUUGCUUCAGGAUGAGAACAGAAAUCGUGCUCCGACAGCACAGCAGCAGCAGAAGGCCCCAUUAGCUAAAGUGGUGCUUCAGGUUAAGAACAGUUUCAGGUUACGAAUUUAGUACUUAACCUGAGGUACCAUUGUAUCUGGGCAUUAAAAAUUGCAUUCUUCCUGAGUUUUCCAGUUUCAUUAUCUUACUAAUAAUCUUAGCAAUGGCUCUGUAAGAUAGGGAGAUAUAGCAACCACAUAAUAAGCAAGGUUGAUUAGCCAGUCAUCUUAAUGACAUACCCUCCAAGUGUCCCAAUUUUCAGUCCUGGAAUUACGUACAAAAGCCAUCUUGGCUUCUGAUUUUAUAUUGGAAUGUCCCUAUUUCCCCCACCAGUUCCAUUGCUGCUGAGUUCAGAGAGGAGGAUGAGCAGGUCCUUGUCCCAAGUGAUGGUGGCAGGAGCAUCCCAUUGCCUCUCCAUGGCCACCACUGCUGGCCUCCUCCCUUGGGCAGCUCAUAGUGGCAUCUAUCUGGAGAGCGGGCAAGGAGGAGGAGAGAGGCUGCAGCCGCAGAGGCCCAGCCCUGUGUGACGUGGGGGCUCUGAGGGACAGGCAGGCAUGCUUUGUGCAUCCGCAUCUAAUCUUGUCCCUUUCUAAAAGUUAUUUAUUGGUGUAUGUUUUUCUUUUUGUAAAUUGGCCAAAGCAUAAAAGCAAAUACAAUCGGGAUUAAGGAGUUUUCUUAGGAUGGUGGAGGGUGGGUGUGCUGUGUCCUGUUGGUAUAUUGGUUGGUAUAUUGGUGUAAGCUUCCAAGAGGUCCAAAGUUUAACCUCAGAGGAUGCUGAGCCAUGGUUAAAUGCCAUGAAAGCCGAACUUGACUCCUUAGAGAGGAACAAGACAUGGGAACUGGUUCCAGGCCUGCCCAGGCCACAAAACGUUUACAAAGUUCAGUUAUUGCAAAAAAAAUUCAGUGUUAAUUUUAUGCAUUUUUUAAAAUCGCCAUGGUAUUUAACAAUAAUAUCUUAUGUCCUUUCGAGGAGAAAUUGUGAAUUGUAGAAUUUUAAAUACCCGCCAUCAUCCUUGGCUUCACUCAAUUUUGUUUAUAACACUCUUCCAUUUUCUUCCAGUUGUGAGGGUGGGGGAUGAGGAAAUUUGUGAGGGCCUCACAAAUGGAGCAGCCUAGGGCCUCUCUUCAUCUAAAUUCAGCCCUGCCUAGCUGCACAGGGGUCAGCAAACUUUUUCAGCAGAGGGCCGGUCCACUACCCCUUAGACCUUGUGGGGGGCCGGACUAUAUUUUGAAAUAAAUAAAUAACGAAUUCCUAUGCCCCACACAUAACCCAGAGGUGCAUUUUAAAUAAAAGGACACAUUCUACUCAUGUAAAAACACGCUGAUUCCUGGACCGUCCGCAGGCCAGACUGAGAAGGUGAUUGGAUCCAGGCCCCGGGCCUUAGUUUGUUUACCCAUGGCCUAGCAGCUCAUAGCUUCUCCAGCUCAGGACUCAGAAAAUCAUUAUUCCUCAGCCCCCUCUCACCCUGAAAAACAAUUAUGUUCUAUCAAUUAUGGAUGCCUAUGCAGAUGCAACCUCUGUUGGGCUCAGUGGGACUUACUCCCAGGCAAGUGGGGUGUAGGAUUGCAGCCUUAGUUACAUUGUUAAAGCAGUCAGCGAUUCAGGGAAGUUGUUAUACUGAAUUAAAAAGGGGAGACACAGACAGCUCGUUCUGCUGUGUAUGCUUGGAAUAAACAAUAAUUUACAGUAAAGGUUUUCGUGGACUAACACAUAUAUAUUUACCAGUGACUUGGCUAUUGAUCACUGUGAUAAAAGAUAAAAUACAUAUUAUAACAGGAGCAGAGAACAAGUAAAAAUAAACAGCAAAGAUAUCUGGGUAAAAUAAUCCCAUAAAUAGUGUGACUCGCCAUAAAAGUCUUCAUAAAACACUUAAUGGAAUAAUAAAACAUUUACAGCAAAACCAUCCAUAUAUUACAUUAGAUUUAUGACUUAAUUUCUUCCACCCACCAUCCACCAUAUUUGUUCAGACUCCACCAAACCUGUGUUAGAGAAGAUAAUAGCAUCCAUCUGUGGAGGUUAUUUUGCAUUUCCAGAUAAUACUGUCCAUUCAUUGGCAUUAGUGUGUGUUGUGCAGUGCAAUACCAAUGUAUGUUUACUCCUAUCAUGUUCAGUGAUACUCCAGAAACAUGUGAGGGAUUGCAGCAUUACAGUACAAUCCACUACUCUUAUCUACUCAGAAGUAAAUUCAAACUGUUUAAUUCAAGGGAACUUACCCGUAUCUCUCAUUUUGGGGUGAUUAUCUCCUGAUAGCCAGCUGUAACCCUUUGAAGAUUCCUCACAUUAAAGAUAGACUCUCCCAUUUAGUGUAUUCCAUCUUUCCUCUGAGGAUCUCCUGGAAAUAUAAAUGAUUUCACUUAUUUCCCCUGUAAAUUAGAUUAGACUGAGAGAUGGUGACUAGCCCAAUAUCACCCAAUACGUUUUGUGGGUUAGCAGUAGGGCUUUGACCCUGAGUCUCCAUUGUCUAACAACUGUUACAAACUGGUUAAAUGACCAGUAUUUAUAUGGUGUUCAUGUGUAUCCAAAGUGCUUCACAAACGUUAUCUGACUAAUUCAGAAAACACUUCUAUAAGUAGGUUAGCAUUAUUACUGUAUUUCCUUAUUGUUGAUCAGAGCCCAGAAUACAGUGACUUGCCUAACAAAGCAACUCAGUCAUUGCAAUAUUGAGAUCUGAACUACAAGCAUGGUGGUUUAAUCACUUAGGUCACAAUCCUAACCCCCACUUACUUGGGAGUAUGCCCCACUAAAUUCAAUAGGACUUACUUCUGAAUAGACUUGAUUAGGAUUGUGCUGCAAGCCACUAACUGCAGUGGCUUUCUCUAUGUGUGCUUCCUCCCACUCUGUAUUGUAUACCCGUCCACUGUUUAUUUGUUUUACAGAUAAAUAUGUAAGAACAGACACACACUCCAUCCCCCACAAAUACCCAUAGUUUGCUACAAUUUCCAAAGGGGUCACCUAGAUCAGGCUAUGCAAGAAGGACCGUACUUCCCUUCUUCUUCUCUUUCCAUGGUUCAUUUUGCAUAUCAUAAAUCCCUGAAUAUUUUACAAAAACGACACCAUUCAGUAUUCCAUUAUUACAUCCAUCAAAACUGAUUUACACUGUUGAAUUUAUCUUAAUGCUGCCAGCGUUUUCAGCUGUACACAGUUAUUUCCAUAUAUUCAAUACAGUGGUACCUCGGGUUACAUACGCUUCAGGUUACAUAUGCUUCAGGUUACAGACUCCACUAACCCAGAAAUAGUGCUUCAGGUUAAGAACUUUGCUUCAGGAUGAGAACAGAAAUCGUGCUCUGGCAGCGCGGCAGCAGCAGGAGGCCCCAUUAGCUAAAGUGGUGCUUCAGGUUAAGAACAGUUUCAGGUUAAGAACGGACCUCUGGAACGAAUUAAGUACUUAACCCAAGGUACCACUGUAAACGUUUUCCAAUCUUCUCUAAAUGUGUGUUCUUCUGGUUCUCUUAUUCUAUAUGUUAAGUCUGCAAGCUGCACAUCUUCUGUCAAUAUAAUUAUCCAUUCUUCUUUGGUUGGGACCUCGCUCAUUUUCCAUUUUGGGGCUAACAAAACAUGGGUCUCAGUAGUACAUAAGCAUAAAUAUUUAUUUAUGUAUUUCAUAAAUAAUCAUACAUAAAUAACCUUUUUUUUGAAACCUGGGAAUUUCAGUCUGAAUUAUCCCCAACAGAAAGGACUCUGUGUGUUUGGGUGGGGGGGAGUACUUUUGAACAUUUUUUUUCAAUUCAUUAUGUAUCAUUUCCCAAUACUCUUUUACCCUUGAAGAAGUUUGCUUUCUAACCACACAGCUGUUCAACUCACAUCAGUACCAAGCACCAUGACGGAUGGCUAGGGAUGAUGGGAGUUGUAGUGUUGCAUCAUUUGUAGGACCAUAUAACAGGCAUGUAAGCACUACUGUAUGAAAGAAACCUACUAUGCGCACUGACACACUUCUUUGACCUUUCACCCGAAACAUACCACCAAACCCAUUGUCUACAGCCAAGCCCUACAGCAGGGGUAGGCAACCUAAGGCCCGUGGGCCAGAUGCAGCCCAAUCGCCUUCUCAGUCCGGCCUGCGGACAGUCUGGGAAUCACCGUGUUUUUACAUGAGUAGAAUGUAUCCUUUUAUUUAAAAUGCACUUCUAGAUUAUUUGUGGGGCAUAGGAAUUCGUUCAUUUCCCCCCCCCAAAAAAAUAAAGUAGUCCGGCCCAUCACAUGGUCUGAGGGACGGUGGACUGGCCCACGGCUGAAAAAGGUUGCUGAUCCCUGCCCUACAGCCACAACUGUUCAAACUUUUUAGGUGGAAAUUACCAACUUAAACAUUUACAUCAGGCAAUCCUCAGGCAACGGUAUCCACCCAACUGUAUGAUAAUGUAAUUAUUACCAUCUCAUCUGUACUUUUCUGCAUUUCAUUUCCUCCUUAUCUCUUAUCUUAUCAUGUGUAUGACAAUUCAUGUAUCUGAUGAAAUGGACUGUCGUCUACCAAAAGGUUAUGCUCUCACAAACUGAAUGAACGAAACUUUUAUUGUUCAAAGCCGCCCCCAUAUAACCAGAACAAACUGGGUAGGCUUUAAAGCAUGCGUAGGCAAACUAAGGCCUGGGGGCCGGAUCUGGCCCAAACGCCUUCUAAAUCCGGCCCACGGGAAUCAGUGUGUUCUUACAUGAGUAGUUUGUGUCCUUUUAUUUAAAAUGUGUCUCUGAAUUAUUUGUGGGACCUGCCUGGUGUUUUUACAUGAGUAGAAUGUGUGCUUUUAUUUAAAAUGCAUCUCUGGAUUAUUUGUGGGGCAUAGGAAUUUGUUCAUUCCCCCCCCCCAAAAAAAAUAUAGUCCGGUCCCACACAAGGUCUGAGGGACAGUGGACCGCCCUCCUGCUGGAAAAGUUUGUUGACCCCUGCUUUAAGGUGCCACAAGACUCUUUGUUGCCCUAAGUCUGUUGCAAGUACAAAUAAAGAGGAUGCAGUAAGAGACUUUGUAACAUGUCCAGAAGAGAGUGUGAAGUUUCCACAAUUGCUGGAGAAUAUUAACAGAAAAAAUCGGAAGGAUGCCUAUGAUGGUAAAGAAAAAUACUGUGGUAAGGGAUGAGAAUGAGCAAGAUAAAGCGCUAGAUGAGGUACAUCUUGAUAGUUAAGAAACAAGCACUGCUGCAAGCUUGCUAUCUCCUAACUUUUGCACUUAAUAAUACUGGUAGUAGAGCACUGAUCAAAACCGACUGCAAAAAUUAAGUGCGGGCUUCCCAAGCCAUUCACAAUAUUUCCAGGUACAAAUUGCAUUGAGAAACCAGCUAAUUUAGACAGACCCUCCGGUUUAGUAUCAAAAAGCACAAAGAGGAACUUUGAGCAUUUCCUCUGCUCCUCUCCUCCCCGCCCCAACCCUCUUCCCUCUGUUUCUUUGUUGUCCCUAAUUGCCUGCACUAAUGUUUCUAUAAUUAAAUGGAAGAGAAAAGGCUGUAGCAGAUAUCUCAGAGUUGUUCCCUUUGGUAAUAAUAACACAUAUCGGGGUCAGUCUUGCCAACAUUUCUCCAUGCCCACAGGUUUUUGCAAAUUAAUGUUAAGCUUUUUAAAAAAGAAAAAAAGGGGGGGAAAGAGCAAAGCUGUACAUUUGAGCUUCUGAAAGAAGGAGGGAUGUUCCAUUGCAGAGGGUGGGCAACUUGUUCAUCACUAGGGCCACAGGUGAUUUCCAUAUUUGAAAUGAUCAUCACAUUAGCAGGAUUUACAUAAAUGGGCUCAGUCGUGGAGCUACAACUGGUGGACCUGGGGACUUGUUCCACAAAGCAAUUUAUGCAACUUACAGUGCAAUACCAGAAGAGGCAGUUCUUCAAAAGUCUAGCGGAUGCCUAUUAGUUAAUUAGGAGCUCAAUUUACACUUGCAGAGAUUCAGCAAAGAAUGGGUUUCCGUUCCUCCUUGCAAAAUGUGCACGGUUGCCAGGAGAGGAAGCACAUUUUAAGGGGAAAGACACAGCAUGUCAGAAAAGCUGAGAAGCCUCCUUGUAUCAACUGGCAGCCAUUGAAAAUGGGGAGGGCAGAGGUUUGUGGCAACACUGGAUCAUAAUACAAUGUCUAUAGGACUGGGACAGACUGGGGGCAGGGAAUACAUUCUCCUUAUCCAACUUUAGAUGAGUGAUCAGUUUCCCACCUUUCCCCAACAAACCCGAUCUUUCUGGAGGAAAUAGACACCACAAACACAUCAACGUCCAGCAAUAAUUGUUGCAGGCUCAGCUAAUAAACAUCUAUUUCUGUACAUAUGCAAGCCAAUCACAUGCAUAUUCCCAGUAGUAAAUCCAUCCAGAUCAAUACAGCCUCUUUAAUUAUUCAAAUAGUUUCAGCUAGCAAACUGAGCUAAAAAUCUGACUUUUUGGUUCAAAUCCAUAUCUGGAAUUUUAAGCGCAGGACCAAGAGCUUGGUGCCCCUAGCAGCUCCUGUAUUACUUUAGCGCGCAGUCCAGUUCUACAGACUUUGCAGAGACACACCUGUGGCCUCCAUCCUCUACCUCUUGAAAAGUGCAGCCUUUAAUCUGCUGUGUGUGUGUGUGUGUGUGUGUGUGUGUGUGUGUAAUGGAGAGCCUUUGCGAACAAGCACAAUUCAGCAUUUGCAUUUCCUCUGCUCCAUUAAGCUCCAGUUAACACAGCCGGGUGUUAACUCUGCUGCUGACUCAUCUUUGGGAAGGGAAAUUUUGGUGGAGUGGUAGAGUUUCACAGAGGUGGGGGUAUGUUCAAGGCAGCUCCUGUCUUCUCCCUGCCAGUCACCGCACAUCUAUUGUGCACUCUCUCUUUCUCCCUCUCGGAUGCAGCUGUAAAAGAGAGAAUGAGAGAGAGAGAGAACUCAACCCAAGGCCUCUAGUCAGCGUUAAAUUCCAGUCUCCCUUCUUUGCCUCCAGUCAGAAGAAUCAAUUCGCCAGUUUCAAAUGAAUGAUCAGAAGCCAGUACAAGCUGUACUGUCUUCAGUGAACUGAGACCAAAUGGAGCUUUGGCAAUUGUUGCUGCUAGUUAUUCCACAGCAGCCAACCAGAAUGACUCUCCCGCAGAAUGACUAUUUAUUCCCUCUGCUUUUCUUAUUUUAACAAGAUCUCUUGCACAAGGAUCACGGGGGCAUGUGGCAAAGAAACGUUCAAAGCUUAAAGCAAAAGGGAAUGAUAGCUUCCCCUGAAAAGGGAUGAUAUUGCACAGGGCUGAGGAACCUUUUGGACCCCACUAUAUGCCAGAUUCUUAAGGUCAGAUCUGACUGCCCACAGGGAAUUUAUUCACACAGUCAAACUGAGCAGGAUUUAAACUCCCCAUUAUCGUGGAGCAGGGGUGGGGUGGGGGUUGAUAAUCCUGCAGGGAAGCGGCACACACACACACACCCCAUCAACUGACAUCAAUGGGCCAUCACAGUUGAUUGACAGUUUUGCAUGACUUUUAUUUUUUAAGGUCUUGAAGGCCAAACAGCCCAAGAUCAACACAUGGGCCAGAUGUUCCUCACUCCUAGUAUAGCAUUAUCCCACCAAAAUGGAAAUAAGCGCACAGACCUGAUUGUUUCAAUCUUCACUGGGAAUCUACGCUACUUUCACCAUUCUUGACCUAUAUCUAUUUGAUAAAAAGGACCUGGGAUCAGAUCUGAGACCAGAAAACAUACACGAAAGGAUAGUCAAUGCAUUGGAUAUUUGUCUCCGGUCAAGGUCAAGAUAACGAUUUGGGAAGCUGGCGCUGACAGUAAGUCUUGCUUCUGGUUUUUCCAAAGUAAACUUGACCACACACUCCUCAUCUGAUUCCUUGCUUCCCUAAGCCCUGUUCAGACACUACGUUGGAGGUCAGUUCAUGCUGGGCGUGCGCAUGAAGAUGCCACCAUAAGAAAGAGUGUGCAUGACAUGUGGGAGAACCCAAGUAUACCGGGGACCGACCACACAUUCCUUUGUAUAUGUGCACAAUGCGCAGUAAAGUCUUGUGCAACUUCAUAACUGUAUGCAUAGUUGUGAUCACAUUCACAGAGGCAGCAAUAGAGAGUAGCACAGUUUGUCUACCCAGCAUACGUUGUUGUUAGAAUACCUCAGUUUUAGUUUCAUGACAGAUACAGCACAGCAGUGGCAAGAAGCCCUGUGGCCCUCAAUGUAUCAUUGGACUCUCUGCUCCCUACAGUAUAGGUUCAGGGGCAGGGGUGACCCUGAAUUGCUACCUCCUGGCCCCUCCUGCCGCAUUCCUCUUUCUCCGCCACUGCAUCCCAGUUCUUGUCAAACUUGGCAGGAGGCAGGCCACCCCUCCAAGUGCUGCCUCAUGUCUGACUUCUCCACUUGGGGACAGGGAAGGUGAAUGCCAAACGCUAUGCUCCAGAAUGCCUCCCUCUCUCGGCAUGAGGCGAAUGCUUCACCCUGCGAUAUGGGGCAGGCCGCCUCCGGUUGAAGGUUUUAUGGUUCAGGCACCAAUCAGUUUUGCACCCUCUAAACUUGUCGGAAUUGUAACUUUGCAUUUGUCCUCCUGUAAUAUCUGUAGCUCUGUGUGAGAUUAAGGGUCAGUAGGGCGAGGGAUUAUGCAAAUCCAUCAAGAGCGCUGGGUCGGGGUGGGCUUUGUGUACAAAUUAAUUCAGCGAUCUGAAGCGAGCUUACUCAAAUGUCACAAAUAAGCCCCCCACAAGAUAACAGCUGCGAGGCGUCACGCUUAAAUCAGCUUUCUGCAUUCCCUGUGUCUGUAACUGAAAUGCAAAGCGCAUAUUGACUAGAACAGAUGGGGAACCUUUAUGGGAAGUGUACCAUGAAGUCAAGGCCAAUGCAUUAUAUAAUGCCACUCUGUUGAACAACACAAAACUUUCCCUGCCCUCCUCCCAUUUACUGAAGCGGCAAGCACCCAAAAGUCUAGGUCAUGGAUGAGGACCCUUUGAUUCUUCCGGUAUCAAUGGACUACAGUUCCCAUCCUCUCUGACCAUUGGCCAUUUCCCUCCAAAGACACUUUGGGUUUUUAUCCAGCAUUUAAAAGUUGUACAUUCCAGAUUAAAAGGUGUGCUUAACAUCUCUUGUGGCGGGGGGGGGGGACAUCUGAAUGUCUAAACAUGAGCAAAUGAGGAAUUAUCCUACUUAUGCACCAGAUAGUCAAGUACCCAGGUAAUUUCCCCAUCGGGCUGUCCCUAAGAGAGUAGGAGACUGAUACCCAUUUAAAGAAUUCUAAGCAGCUCUCCUGACUCACGGAAUUAGCAUCUUAUUUGUUUGUUCCUCUCUCCAUCCCUCAAACAGGCUUGUUCUGAGGGCUGAUCUCAAUUGUUGGCAUCCAUCUCUCUCAAGAGACAAUGGGGGUGAAGUCAAACUGCUGUGAUUCUAGAUUCAGGUAGGUAGCCGUGUUGGUCUGACGCAGUCGAAAUGAUUUUAAAAAGUAUCCAAUAGUACCUUACGGACCAACUAAGUUUGUUCUGGGUAUAAUUUUUUUAAUUUAUUCAAACUGCUGUUUUAGCAGCACCGAAGUGACCUCCUCAGGUAACACUGAGAGCCAGUGUGGUGUAGUGGUUAAGAGUGGUAGUCUCGUAAUCUGGUGAACCGGGUUCGUGUCUCCGCUCCUCCACAUGCAGCUGCUGGGUGACCUUGGGCCAGUCACACUUCUUUGAAGUCUCUCAGCCCCACUCACCUCACAGAGUGUUUGUUGUGGGGGAGGAAGGGAAAGGAGAAUGUUAGCCGCUUUGAGACUCCUUCAGGUAGUGGUAAAGCAGGAUAUCAAAUCCGCACUCCUCCUCUUCUUCUUCUUCUUCUUCUUCUUCUUCUUCUUCUUCUUCUUCUUCUUCUCAGGGUGCAAGCCUGGGAAGUGUGUCUGGGGGUCCUGGGUUGCUCAGAGAACAAGACCCUCCUCUUGGCCUCACUAAGGUGGUCCAAAGGACAGCAGAGCAAUAUGUUUGGCACCAGCUUGGCUGCAGGAGUUGCUAGAAUGAGGCAUACAAGGCUCCAUCCAACCAUCUUAGAGACUUCACUCCAGAUUUGUGUAGGGUUUUCUUCUCCCAAAGAUAUCCUGCAAGGCAGCUGAGGACUAAUCUCAAUAGGGUGUGGGUGUGUGUGGGUGUGUGGGUGUGUGUAUAUAUAUAUAUAUAUAUAUAUAUAUAUAUAUAUAUAUAUUCUGCCUUUGAAAAGUUCAAAGUAUGGGGAUGACUUUCUCCCUGCCCACCUGGGGUUGGGUGACUCCAGACAGCCCCAAAGCUACAACCUUUACUGGUUUGUUUUCAAGAUCUCUAUGCCUCUUUUCAGCUUCUGCUAACCAAGGCAGUGCAUACAAAGCAGUCACAUAAAAUGCUGCAUUAAAACGAACAUCAACACUUAAAAAAAUGAAAGCAUAUGAUAUGGUUAAUUUCCCUAUUCCUUACUUCACUACACGUGUUAAUUAGCUUAGCAAUGCUAGGAUGGUUUUAACAAUUUCCAGACGAGUGGCCAGCACGUUAGUCUAUUGCAGCAAAGAGUCUUGUAGCACCUUAAAGGCAAACAACUUUAUUAUGGCACAAGGACUUUCAUGAACAAGAACCUUUGGCCCGCCAGAUGCUGCAUAACUACAACUCCCAACAGCUCUAGCAAGCAUGGCCAACGAUGGGGGAUGAUGGGAGUUGUAGUGCAGCAAAGGUUCCCUUCUGCUCAGAUACAUACUGCAGAGCCACACCAAAUGUUUAAAGCACAUUCAACACUCAUUUAAGGUGCAUGACUUCUCCCAAAGAGAGCUACACUUCUCUGCACUCUUAACAAACUGCAGUUCCAAGUGUUUUCCUGAGUUUCUGGUAUACACAUGGUUGGGUGGGAAGGCGCAAACAGAGAGGUCAGAGGGAAAUAAAAUUCACAAAGUACUUGAUAAAACACACUACAGUAUCCUGAUUCAAGCCAGAAGUGAUGGAAGCGAUUCUCUUGAUAAUUUCUAAACUGGUAGCUUCUAAGCAGCAAUCUCUAACUUCUAUACAUUUUAAGCUUUAGUUGAAUUGCUGUAGGCUGCAUGUUUUGCAUUUCAUUGCCAUUGGGUCCUCCUGUUAUGUUGGGUAGUGUGGCUUGCAGCUGUUCACAGGUUCGCACUGGUGAGCUGACAGCAGGGGCAGCCAAUGCAGUUGGACUACAACCUCCAUCAUCUCUACCUAUUGGCUGGUUGGGAGUUGUGGUUCAGCAUCUGCAGGGCACCAUAAUAGCUACUCUUGACCUACAGCAGGCAUGGCCAAACUUGGCCCUCCAGGUAUUUUGGGACUACAACUCCCAUCAUCCCUAGUUAACAGGACCAGUGGUCAGGGACGAUGGGAAUUGUAGUCCCAAAACAUCUGGCUGGCCAAGUUUGGCCAUGCCUGGAGGGAAGGCCUAAUUAUGUUGGCGAGGGAGAUUUCUUGCACAUAGUGCUAACCCUGUUUGAUUUGAUUUGAUUUUGAUUUAUUUUAUUUCUAUGCCGCUUUCCAUUCAAAUGAAUAUCAAAGUGGCUUACAAUCAAUCAAUAACAGUAACAGAACAGAACAGAACAGAACAGAAUAUCACAUGAAUCAUAUAAAAUAAUUAACAAAUCGUCAAUAAAACACUACUAACAAAACAGCAACUAAAACAUAAGCUGAACGUCACAAUUACAGCAAAAAUCAUAUUAUAUGAUUAAAAAAUCAAUACGGCAUUUAUAAUAUAUAAAACAUUAUUAGCAACAUUAACAAAACAGUAACUUUUAAAAAAAGCUAAGCACAGUUAAUGUCAUAUAACACUCUCCACACACCCAAGUCGAGUGCUUUUUUCUGGGGGGACGCAUAGCCCUAAACAUUUUGUGAAUCUUUGUACUUUUGUCCAUUUACUGUAUUUAUUUUUCCCAAUUAGAACUAUAAAAUGGUGAUUUUCUUGAGUCAAAAUGAGAGUACCCCUAAACAUUUUUUGAGGAAAAAAGCACUUCCCAAAUCUAUACCUGGUAGGAGUGGGGGAGAGAUACCAUUUUCUGCUCUAAGCAAAAUAUGCCUGAGUUCUCGGGGGAGGGGAUGCAAAAUGUUCACACACAAAAAAUUGGCUGUAAGAGUAGCAUAUCCCUCUUAAACCAGAAGUACUCCAGCUACAAAAAAGUUUAGGAAACACAGUUCAACUUAAUGGCUUUACUUGCCCUUAAGUAACAACAGGGUUCCAAACUAGAUGUGCAGCUUCGUAUCUAACUGUACUUCCCCCUGAAUACAUCACACUGGUCUGCAUGCAGGCAGCUGAAUUAGAUGACCUCCAUGUCUUUUAUAGGCCUACGAUUCGCCAGUCCCCAGGGAGAAAAGGAUUGGUAUGAGCCCCUUACUAGAUUAUGGCCAGUUUCCUCCUGUGUUCAUUAGAACCACAGGCCAUGUGCCAGGGGCAAAGGAAAGCAAGGCUUGAGCGCCUGCAGCAAAAGCAAAUCUUAGAUACGGUCUUUUAAAUGGAAUCCAUUUUUCAUAACUGAAUCAUUUCUCAGUGCAAAGCUCGGCCCAUCCUUCAGCCAGUGAUGAAUAAGCCUGAAUCAGAAUUAAACCAUAAAUCUCCAUCUUCAGAUAGGUAUACCCCUGGCUCUGCUUCCAAAUUGUCUUCUUAUUAAAAUACUGACUUCUUAUUAAAAUACUGUUGUGUUUGCAAAAAAUAAAAUAAAAUAGCCGAUUUUCUCUCUCUCUCUCCUUCUCUCUCACACAAACACAUACACACCUACACACACUUUCAAACCAUACUUUAGUCCAGGGGUCAGCAAACUUUUUCACAGGGGGCCAGUCCACUGUCCCUCAGACCCUGUGGGGGACCGGACUAUAUUUUGAAAAAUAAUAAUGAAUGAAUUCCUAUGCCCCACAAAUAACCCAGAGAUGCACUUUAAAUAAAAGGACACAUUCUACUCAUGUAAAAACAAGCUGAUUCCCGGACCGUCCGAGGGCCGGAUUUAGAAGGCAAUUGGGCUGGAUCCGGCCCCUAGGCUUUAGGUUGCCUACAUAUGCUUUAGUCCCUGGUCCCAAAGCAUUCAGAAGCGUGUGUAUUAUUGAAGCUGAUUAGGAUGCUACAGGGGAACCUGUGGCCCCGCAGAUGUCAUAGGAGAAGGAUCCAGACACAUCAAAGAAGGGUUUCAGUGAAACAUGUUGCAAACUGUAUGAGAAAUCAGGUAAGCAAACAUGGAACUCCACAGCGCCAUCUGGUGUGACAGUGUUAGAAGGCAUAAACAACGCAUAUAAAGCAUUUUUACUUUGCCAGUGUUGCGGAGUCCGGGCUAUAGCUCAGUAAUAGAAUAUCAGACUUGGAUGGAGAGAGUCUCAGGUUCAAUCGCCGACAUCUCCAGAUAGAGCUGAGAAUCUUCUCUGUCUGAAACCCUGGAGAGCCGCUGCCAGUCAGACAAUACUGAGCUGGAUAGACCGAACAUCCAAUUCAUUGUAAGGAACAUUCCUAUGUUCCUGCUUUCACCAGCGGCAGUCAGCCUGGCUAAUGGUCAGGGAUGGUGGUCAUCGUAGCCCAACGGCAUGUGGUGGGCUCAUUGCUCCUGGAAUAGCAGGUGUUUAAGGCUUUUAAUGUGGGACGCGGGUGGCGCUGUGGGUUAAAGCCUCAGCGCCUAGGACUUGCCGAUCGAAAGGUCGCGGUUCGAAUCCCCGCGGCGGGGUGCGCUCCCGUCGCUCGGUCCCAGCGCCUGCCAACCUAGCAGUUCGAAAGCACCCUCGGGUGCAAGUAGAUAAAUAGGGACCGCUUACUAGCGGGAAGGUAAACGGUGUUCCGUGUGCUGCGCUGGCUCGCCAGAUGCAGCUUGUCACGCUGGCCACGUGACCCGGAAGUGUCUGCGGACAGCGCUGGCCCCCAGCCUCUUAAAGUGAGAUGGGCACACAACCCUAGAGUCUGUCAAGACUGGCCUGUAUGGGCAGGGGUACCUUUAACUUUAAGGCUUUUAAUUGCCCCUCUUCUGCCCCAUAGCUCCCUCUUCCUGACAGUAAGAGCUGGACAGUGGAACGGUCUCCUGCAGGAGGUUCUGGACUCUCCUUCCUUGGAAGUUUCUAAGCAGAGGUUGGAUGGCCAUCUGCCAUGGAUGCUUGAGCUGAGAUUCCUACAUUGCAGGGGGUAGGACUAGAUAUGGCCCUUGGGGUCCCUUCCAGCCCCACAAAUCUAGGAUUCUAUGUAUGUCUCAUCCUCUCUUGUGGUGUAGUGGUUAAAAGCAGUAGUCUCGUAAUCUGGUGAACUGGGUUCGAUUCUCUGCUCCUCCACAUGCAGCUGCUGGGUGACCUUGGGCCAGUCACACUUCUCUGAAGUCUCUCAGCCUCACUCACCUCACAGAGUGUUUGUUGUGGGGGAAGAAGGGAAAAGGAGAUUGUUAGCCGCUUUGAGACUCCUUCGGGUAGUGAUAAAGCGGGAUAUCAAAUCCAAACUCUCUACUAUCAUACAAGAUAAUCCUGAAUACAACUUUUGUCAGGUCAGACUAUUCAUCCAUCUAGCUCCCUAUUUGCUGCUCCUAUGGGCUGGAAAUUUUCAGGAUCUCAGACAGUGCCCCUCCCCACGAUUCUCUGCUACUUGAUCAUUUCUUUGAGACUGAACCUGGGUGCUUCUGCAUGAGAAUCCCGUGCACUUCCCCUGAAUCAUGAUCCUUCCCACACCGCUGCCCAAAUUUUUAUAAUACUGCAUUUAUUGCACCGGGGAUCUAUAAUGCCAACUUGAAAUUAAGAGCCUGAGAAGUUGCUCCGAGUUUUUCUUUUGUUUUGUUCACUGGCAGAACAAAGAACAACACGUAGCCCUGUGUGCCAGAUGAAGGCAAACAAAACAAGUGAUCAAAGAAAUUAACAAUUUAAUCCAGUUUAAACACCCUCUCUCUCUGCUCUCCGGCUCCCCUAAGCAACAGUUCAGAGACUGUGCAUCAGCUUAAUCGAAAAGCUUUGCCAUUUCUAUUAGCAAAUACAUAAGAGCUUGAUUCUUCACUGUCUGGCCUUGAAACAGCAAGGAGCUGGAAUCCUCCCUGUAGACUCGAAGCACAAAUUGGAAUUACACGUUGGCUGUUGAUUGCAACAACGCCCACACCCACAUUGCACUCAAAGGUAGCUGGCGAACAGAAGGCCAAAACUGGAGGUGUCCAUUGCUUAAAGGGAACAAGCCAAAGUUACAGGACGGAUAAAAUAUUGAAAGGGCCACAAUGGGAGUAUUAAGGCUGUGGGAUGGAGCGUGGCUUUCUUUUAUCAGUGUGAGAUCUAGCUACUCCAAUGUUACUGAAAUAUACUCGAAGUCGAGUGUGGAUUUCAUGCUCUUUAUUCAGCUCAUAGUACUGAGGAAUGAAAGUUCCCCCCAAAUAUCUGCUUUAUAUACAUUAUUUACACAAUGGGCCACAAAUGAUUGGCUAAUUCCGGAAUUCUCCCGUGGGUCAAUCAGAUUGCGAAUUCACUUCCACCUGGAGCUGGAUUGGGUGGCUCCUGCAGACCAAUCAAACUGACGCAUUGUUCUAGGACCAAUCAGACUGCUGCCUUUUGGAUCCUAUUCAACUCAGUACAUAACAGUUACAGAAAAAUCUAGGUGUGAGGCUGCUCAGUCACCCAGCUCGUCAGGCAGAGCCCGUGGGUCCCUGCGGAAUAAAAAAAGGAUUCCAGCCACCAACCAGAGCAGAUAGCUGUAGACCAAAGUUUAUUGUUCAAUAGGUUCAAAGAGGAAAUUUGAACCCCGAGGAUGGGGUGACAAAGACUUUUAAAACUUUCCCACCAUAUCCCAGAAUACAGUUCGUACAGCAUCAUUGCUAUAUCAUUGCUAUAUCACUGACAUGUCACAAAAGGAGAGGGGUUAACCUUGGCAAACAUGUCCAGACAAGUCCAUGGUACAAGAUUAGCAUAAGCAGACAUGGCAGGGCAAGACUCAGGUAUAAGAUUAGCAUAGACAAAUAUGUCUUAAGUACCCACCACCCAAAAGUACAAUAGAACUUCCUUUGCAUGUCUGGAGCCUGAGGCAAGUCAGGUGAUGAGAUUUGGCUUCCCUUGACUAACAAUGAGCCCACCAACUGUCACCUCUGGGAACUUCCUGGAGUCCUUUUUCAAGGGGAAAAUAGCUUUGGAAUGGAGGAAACUGGCAAAGGAGAUGAUUUUAUAUUAUGUUUAAAGCUAGGUAACUUCCCUGAGCUGUCAAGUUGAGAGGAUACAUUCAGGCAUAAUAUUUGUAACAUUUAACUUUAAAGAUGUCCCCUCCCCCCGUAAUUUCCGUAACGCCUUCUAUGUUCAAUGUGCAGAUGGGGGGGCAUGGCUUAAUUAACCAAAAUGGCAGCCUCCAUGCACAAGAGAGGCAUCUGCAGAGUCAGCUGUGGGGGGGGACAGAGGUUUGUAAAAGUAAACAAAACAAAAAAAACCCCUCAAGGAAGGGUAGAUAUGCUAAAAAAAUAGCCAUUAGGGGACUGAGCAUGCACAGUGACCAUGGAGUGCUGACCAACUAUGGGGUGGGUAGGGGGAAAUCUGGAGGGUGGGGCAAUGGAAUAAUUGUUUGCUUGUUGUCUGUCUGUCUGUCUGUUUGUUUGUUUGUUUGUUUGUUUAUACAUACACCGCCCAUCUGGCUGGGUUUCCCCAGCUACUCUGGGUGGCUCCAAAUAGAAUAUUAAAAACACGAUAAAUACAUCAGUCCUUAAAAACCUCCCUAAGCAGGGCUGCUUUCAGAUGUUUUCUAAAAGUCAGGUACAGUGGUACUUCGGGUUAAGUACUUAAUUCGUUCCGGAGGUCCAUUCUUAACCUGAAACUGUUCUUAACCUGAAGCACCACUUUAGCUAAUGGGGCCUCCCACUGCUGCUGCGCCGCCGCCGCCGCCGCACAAUUUCUGUUCUCAUCCUGAAGCAAAGUUCUUAACCCGCAGUACUAUUUCUGGGUUAGCGGAGACUGUAACCUGAAGCGUAUGUAACCCGAGGUACCACUGUAGUUGUUUAUUUCCUUGACAUCUGAUGGGAGGGCGUUCCACAGGGCAGGCACCACUGCCCAGAAGGCCCUCUGCCUGGAAUGGCGCAGUUGCAUUCCUGAACGACAGCUCCAAAUUUGUGCAGGGUUUACUCCUUAGCCUUUUCUUCUCCCAAAGACAUGCCGCCAGUUAGUGGAGGUUUUGGACCAGAGUUUUCCUUCUUCUAGAUGGAUUACCUUCCCAGGUUGACCAGCCCCCAUCUACCCCUGGAGGGAGGGAGCCCUCUGAAAUGCACACAGUUCAGCAACUGCAAUGUAAAUGAAACAAGAAGAGCGAGAUGAUCUGUUGGGCUCUGGGGCUAAUCCUGCUCCACUUUGCUCCGUAGGAGGUUUGCUGCUGACUCUGCACUUCUAUCGACAGCUCCCCAACCAGCAGCUUGUAUGAAUUCAUUGAGAGAUUUUGGUUCUAUUUGCGAUUCUCCCACACCGCACAGUCGCCUACUAAUGACUGCCGCAUUUCGGAUGCAUGUUGGCAUCCUCCGAGGCCCAAAAUAAAUAUUUAACGUCCCC